ACACCUACCUGGCAGGGGAGAUACCACGAUCACAAAAGUGAUUUUCCCAAAGUGAGGAUACACUGCACUCGGUGUGUGGACCCCUGGGGUUUCCCCAAAUGUGGGGAACUCAGCUGCAUAAUUUCUGGUAGUAGGAACUGCAUUUGCGUUCUCCCC
This is a small nuclear RNA of Pipistrellus kuhlii (Kuhl's pipistrelle), 156 nucleotides long. RefSeq annotates it as U1 spliceosomal RNA. The record is from RefSeq and is a predicted model, not a curated record. Lineage: Eukaryota; Metazoa; Chordata; Mammalia; Chiroptera; Vespertilionidae. The transcript has a single exon.